AUACUUACCUGGCAGGGGAGAUACCAUGAUCAUGAAGGUGGUUUUCCCAGGGUGAGGCUUAUCCAUUCCAUUGCACUCUGGAUGUGCUAACCCCUGCGAUUUCCCCAAAUGUGGGAAACUCAACUGCAUAAUUUGUGGUAGUGGAGGACUGUGUUCGCACUCUCCCCUA
Small nuclear RNA from Suncus etruscus (white-toothed pygmy shrew), 169 nucleotides. RefSeq annotates it as U1 spliceosomal RNA. The record is from RefSeq and is a predicted model, not a curated record. The transcript has a single exon. Lineage: Eukaryota; Metazoa; Chordata; Mammalia; Eulipotyphla; Soricidae.